Malaclemys terrapin pileata is the source of this 7314-nucleotide long non-coding RNA. RefSeq lists it as uncharacterized. The transcript has 2 exons. NCBI's taxonomy places the organism in Eukaryota, Metazoa, Chordata, Testudines, Emydidae. The record is from RefSeq and is a predicted model, not a curated record.
AACAACACCCAGGAUGGAGUUACCUGUGAAUGCUGCAUUGUGUUCUCUGCAAUAGACAAAUGUUUGGUUAGGAAUUCACAUACAAUGACUGCUCAACAUUUUGCAAUUACAGCUUUAAAUAUAUUUUUCAAAUGUCUAAAUUCCCAGAGCAAGCAGUGACAGAUGUCAGCUGUACUCAUCCUUUACCACGUUUAAUAUGCAUCUUGAAAGGAUCUUGUUCUUUGGGAAUCACCCAGAUAAAGGCAAAAGUUGAUGCAUAAGGAAUGGCAAUAUCUUCCUGGCCACAUCUUGUGCUUUUUACUCCACUUCAUCCUCUAUCUCUGUAUUCUUCAAUACUUCUAAUUUCUGACACCCUCUCCUGACUUGGCUUUCACAGUUAUCCUUCUCACUCUCUGACUGCUGCUUUAACAUUCCUUAGGUAGUUUCUCCCCCUCCUCUGCUUAUCUCAGGGUCCUGCUUUUGGUACCCUCCUCUUCCUUAUACCUUAUCCUCCUCUGCUUGCACAGAUUCAGCUACGAUCUUUUUGCUGCUAGCUCACAAAUUGCCUUCUUCUCAUGUGACCUGCCUUCUCCUUCCCAGUUGUGUAUCUGACUUUUUUUCUGACAUAACAUUCUGGAUGGCCUGCCACCAAUUCAAGCUCAGGAUGACCAAAAAUGACUUCUCUCCCCCCAUUUCAAGCUCCCUUUGGUUCUAAACUUUCUUCAUUUUUGCUGGCAAUACCACUGUCCUCCCUGCUGCUCAGGCUCAAAAUUAGGGGUCCAAGAUUCUGCUGCAACGAUCACCUCCAGUCUCAUUACUCUUUUUUCUGAUCAUGUUACUCCCCUCUUCAAGUGCUUCCCUCAGCCCCUUCCUACCUACUGUACCAAACUUCUCAUCCUGGCCAUCACAGGCUUGCACCUCUUUGCCCCAGCCUACACCUUUGAUCUUGUUCCUUUUGUCCCACCUCAUCAUCUUAGUAUUGAAAUGAUACCAGCCUUCCUACACACUACAUGUCCCUCCUCCUACUGCCAUCUUCAUGGUGCCUCCUAAUGCGUGGAGCAGCCUUCCAGACUCAAAUCACCAGGUCCUCUCCCUCCUCAUUCAAAACCCUCAUGAAGACUUACUACUUCCACACAGCCCACAAAUACUAAGCCAUGUCAGUCACACACACUCUUUUUGCCCCAACAUAACGUGAGAGAAGUAGUAAUGAGUGAAGGAAGGUAGAGAUUUAAAAUUAAAUAAGAGCACUAUGCUCAUCAAGUUAUACCUAUAAUGUGGUGUUAUAACUCUCUCUCUUCUCCAGUUGUUUUUGUUCUCACUGCAGGACAUCUAAAAUUAGACUGUUAGUUCCUUGAGGGUAGGAACUGUGUAAAGUACAUAGUAGUUUUAGUUUUUUGUAUUAAUAAUAACUGCAAACACAAAGCAUGUAGGAUGGUAGAUACAAGAAGCAAGCAAGUCUCCCCAAAACAAAAUAAAAACUGCUAAAUAACAAUCCAGCUCCUUCAGGUGCUGAUGUGCACGAUGGAAGAAACUGGAUCACACCUGAAAUAGCAAUAGGUAAGAAAAAAAACUAAGGACUGGAUCCUCAAUUCAGUGCAGAGGGGGCAGCGCGGAUGGUAGCUCUAGGCCACCUUUACUCUUCCUCCAAUCCUCUAGGAAGAUGAGGACUGAAUCCACCUCUGGCACAAUUUAGAGCAGCCAUAGCUCUAACCUACGCCUGUUCUACUGGCCCAGGAUUGUUCCCCAACCCUUGAUGCACCUGGAAAUGCUUCCCAUUGGAUACCUUCUACACCAAGGUGGGGGGGGGCAGGUGGAGUGAAGUUGGCAUUGUCAACUUUACACCAGCUGGGGAAAUCCUCAGCUGUCCAAUUAAAGCCUUUGUACAGCUGGAGAGGUGCCUCUGGAGGAUCUUUAUCAGAGGUGAGGAUCUGGCACUUACAAACUUUGAGCUUUGUUUAUUGAGACAGAAGGAACAAAAAGUUCUGGCUCGGUGAACCUUUAGCCAGGGUACAAAUAGUCACUGUGGGGCAGGUUUUGAAAGGUAUUUAGGUGCUUAAAAGAUGUAAAUAGGAGCCUAAUGGUCUUUUUAAAAAGUACAUAGAUGCCAAAUUCCCAGUGAUUUUGAUGGGAGUUAGGCACCUAGUUGGCUUUUCAGAAUUGCCUAUCUGCAUCUUUAGGCACUUAAAUACCUUUAGAAAUCUGACCAUUUUAAAUGGAGCCCACAACAGAGACCUAGGCCAGGGAAAAUGCCUCAGCCAUAAUAUGUACAUGAUUUGAAAAAGCUAUCUUUGCAAUAUGUUUUCAGCAUGUACAGUAUAUGCUAAAUAUAAUUAAAAUACCAUUUUGAGACUACCGAAUAUGGGAUAUGUUGUAAACAUGAAUGACAUAGCCAUAUAUAUAAAUUAUAUUGUGUUAUACAGAUGUGAGUCUGAUGUGAUCUAGAGCAGAUUUGUUGCAUACAUUUUCCAUUAGUUGACUUGAAUAAAUAACUACAGGGCUGGCCUGAGGGAAGAUGGCAACCUGGGCAAAGUUGUACUGUUGUGCCCUUUCUUUGAGUUUAAGUACAGAUACACAGUAUGGUCAUAUACCUUGAGUUCACUGCAGAAGCUUUUAAGUUAUAGUAGGGACUGAGUUCACCUAUAGCUGAGACCACUGCAAAUGGCCCGGGCACCCCAUAUGCUCAGCACUGGCUGACUGAAGCACCCAAGCCUCUGGCACCAGCGAUGAGAAUGCCGGGCUGGCAGCCAUGCGAAGCACUGGGGACGUGGCAGCACUGUGAGACAUAAACUGAAGCCCAGCCCAGCACACACCUGGCAUGGGGUCUGUUUUCCCCAGCUGCCAGAAAUCUGCCCAGGGAGCCCCGUUGCCUCCAUUCCUUAGCACUGCCCAACCCCGGACACUGCUGUAUGCCCCCAUGGGCAUUUGGAGGCAGGUGAGUGGCUACUCUGGCAGGUGGGCUGCACCAGGCAGCCCGGGAUGAGUGCAGGAGACACCAGGGAGAAGCAGAUCUCUCUCUGGCAGUCUCCUUGCCCCACCCAGCCCAGUUCAGACUGGCACAGCCCCAGGGGCAAGGCCAAACCUGCCCUGCAGGGUGCUCCCCUGUGCCUGCUGGGGUUCCCACAGCUUGCCUUGGAGCAGACCCUCCCCAGCUGCAAGCUGCAACAACACCCCUGCAACUUCAGCCUUUCCCCAGCUGAGAGUUGGUCCUACCUGCCCGUCCCCUCUGCUGAGCUGGGACACUGUGUGGGCCAACAAAGCCAUCCAUUAAUGGAGCCCAGCUGACAGCUCUCACCUCUUAACCUGCCUGGGCGCCGGCACCCUCUUGACCAUGGUGCCCUGGGAGAUCGUGCAUGUCGCCCACCAGUAAGGCGGGCCCUGAAUAACUGCUUGAAUAUAUUAAACAUAUUAGAUGAAAGCAGCGCUGUAGGGCCCAGUGCUGCAAGAUACUGAGUACUCUCAAUGCCUAUUCACUUUGAUGUAUGAUUGAGCCCUAUAUAAUGUACCUUGUUAGUUCCCGUGGUCAUAUGAGUAUUCCCUGGUCUGUGUUCUGCUGCCAGUCGCCACACUUAUCUUUGGACUCUUCCCUCUUGAGCUAGGCAUUUUUCUUGGCCAGGGUUAUGGUGGCUUUCAGGCCCUCUUUGGGUUUCCUAUCAAUCUGUGUAAGUAAGUGGUCUCCACCAAUGGCUUGUUCCUGCUGAGUGUCCUUAUCUCCCACUGACGUUCUACAGGAGGUGCUCAGCUCUUCACAGGAUUUGACCUACGCACCUGUCUUGCAAAGCUGGUUCAGGUAUGUCCUAGGUCCUCUAUGGGCCUAUAGUGAGGCGGUGUGGUUCCCUGCCACCCCAGAGGGGGAAGAGCCCAUCCGGAGGCCAGAGUGGGCAGAGCUAGGGAGCUCUGAGCCCGCCCCUCAGAGAGUCAGGCGGCGACCCAGAAGUAUAAAAACCCACGGUCCAAGGCGGCCGCCAGGAGUGGCCGGGCCUGCCCUGUGCCCGCUACCCGGAGGAGUUGCCGGGCCUGCCGCUCGCUGAGGAACCUAUGGUGCUGGAUCCCCUAGAGGACAACACCCAGAUCCAGGUACUACCCGAGGGGAGUCUGGAAGUAGCCCGGGGGCAGCCGACCCUAGUCUGGCUGCAGCACUGCCAGAGCACAUGUCAGUGUGUUGCGGCCAGGAUCCCCACUGACUAAGCGGUGGGUCUUCUGCCGCUGCUAGUAUCCUGGGCUGGGAGUGGGAGGGCCUGCGCCCCCCGUGUCACCCAACUCGUGAGUGGCAGUCUCCCCCUCUUCCAGGCCUUUGAAGGCUUGGGGCCUACUGUUGUUGCUCAGCCCUGCCUGAGGGCCUGAGCUCUGACCCUGCACUGCCCCACCCUGACCUAGGGCAUGGGCUUGCUACUGUUUGUACUGUUGUUGCUCAGCCCUGCCUGAGGGCCUGAGCUCCUGACUCCAUUUUGCCCUGACCUAGGGCCUGGGCUUACAGUGUUUGUUCCAGUACCGCAAGGGCUGCCGAGGAAGACCCCGCGGACAGACUAAUUCCCCAAAUGUCAAUGGCGGUUAGUGAGCCGGUAUGGCUCCCCACCGUCCCGGAGGGGGUUGAGCCCUGGCAAACUCUUGUACAGGGCCCAUUUGAUUUGCUUCCUCCCCUGCAGUUAUUCAGUAGCCUCACACUGUACACGCAAACCAAGAAAGCAUGGUUGAUCAAAGACAGAGGUGUGCAGAGGCAGGCUGAUGAGAGAAGGGAAGAGUGGAGGAUGUAGAGGUAGGAUGAGGAGUGGUAAAGCUGCAACUCCAGCAGGCAGCAGCAGUCACUUGGAGUAGAGUCCUGGAACCCACAAGCAAGGGGAGAGAAGGCACCCAAGAUGCCCUGGAGAUGCAAUCCCAUCCAGGUGAGUAACAGUGCAACAGAGAAGAGGACCCUCCCCAAACAUCAACUAUUCCCAUUCUCUUGCCCAGAGAGGGAAGAAGAGUGGCGGGUGUUUCAGCAAAUGGUGAAGUUAAUAUGGGCCUGUGGGAAACUCCAUGAAGUUCUGGUUGGUGGACGGGGCAUUGGGGCACUCUGCUAGGCAUCAGGAGUGUUUUUAAUCAGUGAACCCAACAUGCUCAGCACUUUGAGGGUGCAACAAUUCUUUUAUGGUUUGGAAUCUGCCUGCCUGAGAGGGCCUGUUCCAGCCUGCAGGGCCUCCACCCCAACAGGUUUUGCAAAAACAGCUCUGCUGUGUUGAGGGCGAAAUACAAUGGGAGGAUUUGGCCCAAUGUUAUAAUGGAAUGCCAGUUCUAGGUCAGGGAGUAGGAGCUGCCAGAUAAAGGAUGUUACAGGUGAUUGUUUGUGUACUUUAUAUAUUUAUGUUGCAUAUCCUCUGUUGCUAGAUUCCUCUGUCUUCAUUUCCUGAAUUCUUAUGUGUUGAGAAAUUACUGAUUCAUAGCUGGAUCUGCCCUUGAUCCUUCUCCAAAAUAAAAGUAGACGCUACAAACAAAAACUGUGUAUAACAUUUAAGAAAAACCAUCUAAUGGACAAUUGCUGAGCAACAUUUCUGUGGGGAGGGUGCCUAAACACACUUUUACCACUUGCUGAUGACCCUUAUCAGGGCCGGCUCCAGGGUUUUUGCUGCCCCAAGCGGCACAAAAAAAAAAAAAAAAAAAAAAAAGCCGCGAUCGCGAUCUGCAGCAGCAAUUUGGUGGGAGGUCCUUCGCUCUAAGCAGGAGUGAAGGACCGUCCGCUGAAUUGCUGCCGAAUAGCUGGAUGUGCCACCGCUCUCCAGAGUGGCCGCCCCAAGCACCUGCUUGGCAAACUGGUGCCUGGAGCCGGCCCUGACUGGUAUAGUUACAACAAGACAUGAGCCCUUACAAUGCCAAUGACUUUGAAAAUGUAAGAAUCACACAGAGGUAAGACCUCAGGCACCACUAAAAUGUUUUCACUUAAUAAUAGCUUGUUCUUAUACAGCACUUUUCAUCAGUAGAUCACAAAAGGCUUUACAAAUAACUAUCUUCAUUUUACAGAUGGGAAACUGAGGCACGGAGAAGUGACGUGACUAAUGCAAGGUCACCCAGCAGGCCAGUAGCAGAAUAGGAAAUAGAACCAAGGUCUGCUGAGUCCCUGUCCAGUACUCGCUCCAUUAAGCAACAUUAUCAGGACCAAUUCAACAUUGAGACUAAGUACAACUUACAACCUGUCUCCUUUGGACUCAGUAGGGCAAAUUCAAAAGUGACAUGUGAGGCGGUGUAAGUUACAUGUCAGUAAUCGAGUGUGAGUCUGUUGGUCUAACAUGUAUGCUGUUUGGGGCAGGAAUUAGGUGUAAAUGAUAUCUAGACACCCCAUGCCUGCUGACAGCGGGUGGGGGGGGAGCACAAUGCCAGAACAGCUUCAGUUACUGCCCCCCCCACAACCCCUCCCCUUCCAGAAAGCAAUGGUCCCUCCUGCAGCUCCCAGCUGUUCCUCUGCUCCUGCCUCUGCCUCUCCCUACCCCGUGCAGCUUGCUGGCUCAGCUGUUCUGCAGGGAGGGGGCCCAGUCACACCAUGUGACCAAGCAAUCUGGGGGGGCAUGUGACCCCACAUGCCCUCUCCAACACGCUUGAACAUUGGCACACAGAUGCGUAAAAAAUAAAACAUUGUGAACUCUAAAUGCCACAUGCUAGUGUGAACCAUUGGAGUAAGACAUUUAGUCACUUAUUAAAACAGUAUUUGAGCAUUAGGAUAAACCUCACUUGUCCACUUACUAACAAAAGGCUCCGUUCGAUAAAUCUCACUCACUUCUGAGAGUCCGGUGAAGUGAAGUAAGUUUUGUCCAUUCCUUUAUGUUAUUUUUUGAAAUUUGCUAUUUGCCUACUUGGAAACAAAAUUAAAAUCAAUAGUUUUCUUUCAGUAAAGUUGUCUCUGCAUUUUGUUUUUCAGAGGAAAAGAGGGUCCUGUGACCUGCUAUCAGUGUUGGUUUUCUCUGCUGAGUGGAGGGUCUUGGAGCUAGAUUUUUCAAAAGAUGCAGAUAGGGACCUAUGCCCAGAUCCUCAAAGGUACAUGAGAAUUUGUAACCAUAUCAAUUAAAGUGUUUGAAAGUGAAGGAACCCACAUUACUGAAGUGUAUGAUGAGAUGCUGAAGUCCAGGCUGAAAAAACAGGUUUCCUUUUUUAAAAGCUAAAAGAAAGUAUGAAAAAACGGAAUGUUCCUGACUAGGCAGUCAUCCUAUCAGAAGUAACUAAAUGAGUUGUCAAACAUAUAGCCUGUAGGUAUAAUACAACCUGCGAGAUAUAUCUGUGGUCUGCAUGGCGUUUUCAGAAUCUAAACUAUUUUUUGAAUGAAAGUUUCUAUUUUUUACCUAUUUAUGGAACAUAAUUAAAAAUGGAAUUUGA